AAACUUUCAACAACGGAUCUCUUGGUUCUGGCAUCGAUGAAGAACGCAGCGAAAUGCGAUAAGUAAUGUGAAUUGCAGAAUUCAGUGAAUCAUCGAAUCUUUGAACCGCACAUUGCGCCCGCCAGUAUUCUGGCGGGCAUGCCUGUCCGAGCGUCAUUU
RNAcentral lists this ribosomal RNA (159 nucleotides) under Trichoderma aureoviride. RNAcentral describes it as "5.8S ribosomal RNA". It matches the Rfam family "5.8S ribosomal RNA". Rfam says of the family: 5.8S ribosomal RNA (5.8S rRNA) is a component of the large subunit of the eukaryotic ribosome. It is transcribed by RNA polymerase I as part of the 45S precursor that also contains 18S and 28S rRNA. Functionally, it is thought that 5.8S rRNA may be involved in ribosome translocation. Lineage: Eukaryota; Fungi; Ascomycota; Sordariomycetes; Hypocreales; Hypocreaceae. The record is from RNAcentral.